AGUCAAUUCAGAAUAAAGGGACUAAUUUAUAUUUGACCACUAGGUGUCACUGUUGGUGGUGGCGUGGGCGAUAAGUAGGGGGAGGGGAAUUGGAAGCAAUCUUAGGGGAUUUGGGGGGUUGAAACAUAAAAUACUCACAUCAUUGCCAUUCUCCCUCUCUAAGUACGGCAGGGUGGUAGGAAGGAAAGAGAGAAGUAUGAAGACACAGCUUUGGCAGCGGUUCGGUACUGACCGGCCCUCAGACCACCCUAGGAGACUGCUGACUGCAGAGCUGCAACCCCAACAGAAAUUGACUCUUCAAGUCCAUUUUAAUCAUUCCCUAACCACCUCGCAGGAAAACAGAAAAACGUCAAUGACUCCACGUUGGGAAAGCGAGGCUCUCCUCGGCCACGCCUGCCUGGUGCUGAAGAAAUCAGAUGAAUAAUUUAUAUCACAAAGCAGUGUGCGGGGUGUCAGCUCGUGUGUGAAGGGGCUCUGAGUGACGAGCUCUGGGCGCACGUCAGAAACAUCAUCUAUGAGGCCAACGUACAAAUCCAGGCGGAAGAGCCUCAGGAAGUGGAAUGGGAAUUUUUUUGUCAGCAACGGUCAGUGAAGUCCAAUUUACUUCUGGACUUGGCUGUGUGAAAUGGGAACUUUUCAAAGCCCAUGAAAAUCAAACAAUGAAAAGAGAUUUUCCUGAUGUCGUACUUGGCUCAGACUCCAAGGAUAGCAAGACGGGCAGUGCCUGCCUGGCCCCCGAAGGGAGAUCGUGCUUAUCUUCAGAACAGCCCAGGCCCGACGCCAAGCCUCACGGCCAGGGCAUAUCUUCUCCAGACAGCAUUUUGCACUUGCAUAUGAGCUGCAGCCUUUCCAAAAGUUGGGGAAAUCCUGCAAAGAAGGAACAUGGCAUCUGAUUCUUGGAAUAACAUUCUCUCUACACUCUUCCAGCUGCUGUGGAUACAUAUAAUGACUGAUUUUAUUUAAUAAGAAAGCUCAAAAUGUUUCCCAAUUCAAAACAUAACCCUGCAUGCUGUUCCCUCUAGUCUAACCAGAAAUCCCAUUCUCCUCCUCCUGUAACUCAAUAAACCAAAUCUAACUGGAGAAUAAUUAUAAAAUACACUGAUGUGCAAUUUGUUUCACUUGCUCAAUAAUUAAUUAAUACACUACUUACGGUUCAGAAGAGCUCUUAAG
Molecule: long non-coding RNA, 1170 nt
Filed under: Rhinopithecus bieti (black snub-nosed monkey)
Lineage: Eukaryota; Metazoa; Chordata; Mammalia; Primates; Cercopithecidae
Description: lncRNA (ENSRBIG00000045094.1)
Source: RNAcentral